CCUANGGGGGGCAGCAGUAGGGAAUAUUGGGAAUGGGCGAAAGCCUGACCCAGCAACGCCGCGUGAGUGAUGAAGGCCUUCGGGUUGUAAAACUCUUUUUACGGGGACGAGGAAGGACGGUACCCGUAGAAUAAGUCUCGGCUAACUACGUGCCAGCAGCCGCGGUAACACGUAGGAGACGAGCGUUAUCCGGAUUUACUGGGUGUAAAGCGCGUGCAGGCGGUUUCGUAAGUUGGAUGUGAAAGCUCCUGGCUUAACUGGGAGAGGUCGUACAAGACUGCGAGACUAGAGGAUGACAGAGGGGAGUGGAAUGCCGAGUGUAGCGGUAAAAUGCAUAGAUAUUCGGAAGAACACCAGUGGCGAAGGCGGCUCUCUGGGUCAUAUCUGACGCUCAGACGCGAAAGCUAGGGUAGCAAACGGGAUUAGAUACCCCGNUANUC
Molecule: ribosomal RNA, 440 nt
Filed under: uncultured bacterium
Lineage: Bacteria
Description: bacterial SSU rRNA
Rfam family: Bacterial small subunit ribosomal RNA
Source: RNAcentral